CGCGAAAAGUCCACUGAACCUUAUCAUUUAGAGGAAGGAGAAGUCG
RNAcentral lists this ribosomal RNA (46 nucleotides) under Coffea merguensis. RNAcentral's name for it is "partial 18S ribosomal RNA". The record is from RNAcentral. Lineage: Eukaryota; Viridiplantae; Streptophyta; Magnoliopsida; Gentianales; Rubiaceae.